CUUAUUGGGCUGUCUCUGCUCCAUGGUGUAAAUAGCCGCAGUAUCUUGACUGUGCUAAGGUAGCAUGAUAAUUUGUUCUUUAAUUAAGAGCUAGUAUGAAGGAGUUGACGACACCUAAGCUUUUUAAUUAAUUGGUGGAAUUUAAUAUUUGCUUUAAAAAGAGUAAAUAAUUAAGGGGACGAUAAGACCCUGUAAAACUUAGAUUUAUAUUGUUUUAUAGAAUUUAGUGUUAUAUAAAGCUUAAAAAUUAAGCUGGGGCGGCAGUUAAAAUACAUUAAUAAAGAUAACUUGAUUAAUGAUUUUAAAGAUCUCUAAAGAGUUAGAAUAAGUUACUUCAGGGGUAACAGCACAAUUUUUCCAGAUAGCUCGCAUAGAAGGAAAAGACUUGUGACCUCGAUGUUGAAUUGAGGGGUCUUAUUUAAGUAGAAAUAAAUAAAGAGGGUCUGUUCGACCUUUAUUUCCUC
Molecule: ribosomal RNA, 464 nt
Filed under: Chelator insignis
Lineage: Eukaryota; Metazoa; Arthropoda; Malacostraca; Isopoda; Desmosomatidae
Description: partial 16S ribosomal RNA
Rfam family: Archaeal large subunit ribosomal RNA
Source: RNAcentral